RNAcentral lists this ribosomal RNA (296 nucleotides) under uncultured bacterium. RNAcentral describes it as "partial 16S ribosomal RNA". It matches the Rfam family "Bacterial small subunit ribosomal RNA", at positions 1057 to 1352 of the family's 1533-position model. The record is from RNAcentral.
AUCUCGUGCCGUGAGAUGUUGGGUUAAGUCCCGCAACGAGCGCAACCCCUGCUACUAGUUGCCACCAGGUAAUGCUGAGCACUCUAGUAGGACUGCCUACGCAAGUAGUGAGGAAGGUGGGGAUGACGUCAAGUCCGCAUGGCCCUUACGCCUAGGGCUACACACGUGCUACAAUGGUCGCUACAAAGGGUUGCAAUACCGCGAGGUUGAGCUAAUCCCUAAAAAGCGGUCUCAGUUCGGAUUGCAGUCUGCAACUCGACUGCAUGAAGCUGGAAUUGCUAGUAAUCGCGCAUCAG